RNAcentral lists this long non-coding RNA (1071 nucleotides) under Anser brachyrhynchus (Pink-footed goose). RNAcentral describes it as "lncRNA (ENSABRG00000010124.1)". The record is from RNAcentral. Lineage: Eukaryota; Metazoa; Chordata; Aves; Anseriformes; Anatidae.
AUGGCUCAUCCUUUUUUUUUUUUUUUUUUGGGGGGGGGUGGGGUGGGAUUCCCCAAGCCCAGCUUUUUGGGAUGGGAAAUGGUGGCUGUCCUGGUGAAGCACUGCCAUGGGACAACUGUCCCCUCUGUCACCCUCGGUGCACGCAGCAUUGCAGGGAUGAUCCGAAAUACACAGACUGGUGAACCCAGCUCAGCGCAUUGGGAUACGAUGGACCAUGGCAAGGAUGAGGGCAGGAGGGAAGAGUGUCCCCUUCCCUGGGGUGCCACCACCAUCACCCCUACCCCUAGAGAUGCAGGCAGGCUUCAUCUGGGGACAGGGAUGUGCAAAAAGGGGUUUGGCCCAGCUCGGGGCAGUGGGGGACAGGAGAGGCUUCCAGGAGGAAGGGGAAGCCAUGGGUGGGAUGGCCCCAUCCCAAAUCACUGCGCUGGGGAAGCAGCACUGGGUGACAGCGGCGUGGGAUGCUUUGGAGGACAAGUGAGAUGGCAACACCUCUCCCCUCCUCUCCAAAACUUCUCAUCGUCGCCCCAUCCCGCCAGCCCCCCUCCCUCAGCCCAGCCGAAGGGCGAUGUAAAAAAAAAUCACGUCCGUGGCUUUCGUGGCUUCAGCCGUGUCCAAAUUGACCCAGGCAAGGCCCUGACCACCCGGACAAAAGUCCCGGACAAAGCCGAUCUGGCAGAGGUUCAGGUAUGUGCUUGGCCUGCCUUUCCUGCUCCUCAGCUCGCUGGAAGCCUUCGCUCUGCUCCCCAGCGCUGGGGCCCCGCCAGGCUGAGAGAAAGCCUUUGCUUUUUUUUUUUCUCCGAGAACAACUCCUGCCAAGAGGCUCUGCUCUCCGAAAUCCUUCCCGCAAUAAACAACAGUUAUUUGUUGCAGAAUCCCUGGCAGCAUCGGCCGGGUGAAUCAUUUAUUCCUCCUCUCCUUCCCGUAAAAGCAAAGAGACACGUGCUGCCGGCUGGGAGCAGUGCUCUCGGCCACCUUCCCGAGCAGCCAGCAGGCAAUGCAUGUCCACGAGCAAGAUUUGGGACUCCGUGUUCCCGUCCAGCUGGUGGGGUUGUUAGCGUAGCAGCCGCAUAA